Molecule: ribosomal RNA, 466 nt
Filed under: uncultured bacterium
Lineage: Bacteria
Description: partial 16S ribosomal RNA
Rfam family: Bacterial small subunit ribosomal RNA
Source: RNAcentral
GACGAACGCUGGCGGCGUGCUUAACACAUGCAAGUCGAACGGAAAGGCCCUGCUUGCAGGGUACUCGAGUGGCGAACGGGUGAGUAACACGUGGGUGAUCUGCCCUGCACUUCGGGAUAAGCCUGGGAAACUGGGUCUAAUACCGGAUAGGAGCCAUUUUUAGUGUGAUGGUUGGAAAGUUUUUUUCGGUGUAGGAUGAGCUCGCGGCCUAUCAGCUUGUUGGUGGGGUAAUGGCCUACCAAGGCGGCGACGGGUAGCCGGCCUGAGAGGGUGGACGGCCACAUUGGGACUGAGAGACGGCCCAGACUCCUACGGGAGGCAGCAGUGGGGAAUAUUGCACAAGGGGCGCAAGCCGGAUGCAGCGACGCCGCGGGGGGGAUGACGGCCUUCGGGUUGUAAACUCCUUUCGCUAGGGACGAAGCUUUUUGUGACGGUACCUAGAUAAGAAGCACCGGCUAACUACGUG